Molecule: ribosomal RNA, 564 nt
Filed under: uncultured Glomeromycotina
Lineage: Eukaryota; Fungi; Glomeromycota
Description: SSU rRNA
Rfam family: Eukaryotic small subunit ribosomal RNA
Source: RNAcentral
UUGGAGGGCAAGUCUGGUGCCAGCAGCCGCGGUAAUUCCAGCUCCAAUAGCGUAUAUUAAAGUUGCUGCAGUUAAAAAGCUCGUAGUUGAAUUUCGGGACCAUCAUGUCGGUCGUGCCUCGGUACGUACUGGUAUUGUUGGUUUCUCCCUUCUGACGAACCAUGAUGUCAUUUAUUUGGUGUUGUGGGGAAUCAGGACUGUUACUUUGAAAAAAUUAGAGUGUUUAAAGCAGGCUCACGCUUGAAUACAUUAGCAUGGAAUAAUGAAAUAGGACGGUUGAUUCUAUUUUGUUGGUUUCUAGGAUCGACGUAAUGAUUAAUAGGGAUAGUUGGGGGCAUUAGUAUUCAAUUGUCGGAGGUGAAAUUCUUGGAUUUAUUGAAGACUAACUACUGCGAAAGCAUUUGCCAAGGAUGUUUUCAUUAAUCAUGAACGAAAGUUAGGGGAUCGAAGACGAUCAGAUACCGUCGUAGUCUUAACCAUAAACUAUACCGACUAGGGAUCGGAUGAUGUUAAUUUUUUAAUGACUCAUUCGGCGCCUUACGGGAAACCAAAGUGUUUGGGUUC